CUUCUUUUCUGUUGUUGUUUAUUGUUUACUGACUCAACUGACUGCCUGUGGUCAGGAGCUGACGUUGUUCAAGUAAGCCCUAGACUACUAAGAUAGAGAGUCUAAUAUAAAACAUUCCCCAUAUUUCUUGAGUAAGUUACUGUUACUGCCUUCUUUCCAGAGCGUUUAAGUGCCCACUGUUCACUCCACACCACAGAGCCAGCGUCAUCAGUACUGUUGCAAUGCUUGUUUAUGAGGGGCACUCUGUUGCUUUGCUCUGUCUUGAGCGCACCCAAAGACCAUGAUAUGAUGUGAGCUCUGGAUUGUACCAGUCACAGUUGGUGGCCCAACUUGUGUUAGCCAGCAUCAGAAAAGACCCCCCAAAAAAGAGAGAGUGAUAGAUCGCUUUGAGCUGAGAUGGAGAAUCCAACCUCCCCGGAGCUUUUAGUUGUGAGCAGUCCGCGUGUGCUGCCAACCAAGGCUGACUUGUCUUCUGAAGUGAAAGAUGGGAAUGUUACUGAUGGUUCUAUGUCUUUAAUGAAUAAAGCCCCUGUACUUAUUGUUCAGCACAUUGAGCAACCACCAGAAGAGAUGGGUAACAGUUCAGAGCUCAAGGUCCCCAAUGGAGCAGAUGGAGACUCGGCUGUGGCCAAAGCAGAGUCUGGCGGAGUGGAGGAGGAGACAAGCCCAGAGUCUGACGACUCCAAGAAAGAUGUGGACACCAGCAAGGCCGUCACUUUUGCAGAGGACGUGGAAAUCUACGACCUCACCUCGAAGGCAGCCAUGCCGAUCACCGUCAGCCUGGACACCCCGGUGCACCUUGUUGAUCACGCUGGUCUGGCUCUAAUUGCUGCUGAGGUGCCGCUGGAGGAGCUAAAGAAAGACACUGCCUCGGAGGACCUCACAGACAGCCUGACUGCUGCUGAACUGGAGACAGACUCCUCUGAAGCUGAGGGGAAGUCGUCUAUCGCUGAAAUCUCUGAUGAAAGGCAGUCAACCCCGGCCACACGACCUUCCGUUCUCAGCUUGUUCAAAAGCAGUAGUGUGGAUAAAACGUCUGAAGGUGGUGGGAGUUCUCUGAAAGCAAGUGAAAAUGAUGUGGCCACAGAGGAGAGCAAACAUACUUCAUCUACUACAAGUGGGAGUGAAGAUCAACAGGAAGAAGCAAAAGUGAAUGGUGAAGAGCCUACGGCCCACAAGGAGUUCACUGUGGUGAGCGUUGAUGAAUCUGAACUGCCAGCGUCAGAGCCACAGGAUAGGACGGUACGAGCAGAGGACACUGUGCCCCUGACUGAAGUGCAUCCACUCUCAGGCAAGACAAAUGGCCAGUCACACAGCACUGAUAGCUUCCUGCAUGACACUAUUGGGCCUUUGGACAAUCCAGCCUUCCUGAAAACAUUGCAUUACUCUGUAAGUCAGCCCUUUGAUGAGGAUGAGCAUUUUGGCCUGCAGUCCAACCUUGAUCUACACAGUGUCACCACGCUACAGAACACGACCUCUGACCUGGACGGAGGCUGGGCCUGGGUGGUGCUCUGUGCGGCCUUCCUGGCACAAACCAUUAUCGGUGGGAGUGUCUACGCUUCAGGUGUACUGAUAUCUGCCAUCGUUGAAGAGAUUGACCCAGACUUGACAAAAGCGUCUUGGGUUGGGUCGGUGUUUGUUUGUGCACAGUGUUUAACAGGUCCUUUCGUCGGGGCUGCUCUUAAAAAGUUUGGAGCCCGGAUCAUCGUGUCUCUGGCCGGUGUGGUCUUCACUCUUGGUUUUCUCGGUGCCUCCUUCUCCACUACGGUGGGACAGCUGAUUCUGACUCACGGACUUAUAGCAGGUGUGGGUGCUGGAUUCAUCCUCAACCCUGUCUUUGUCAUCGUGGGCCAGUACUUUUGUCGGUACAGAGGCCUUGCCUGCGGCUUGCUGGCCACUGGGGCUGGUGCGGGAAUGUUAACAGGUGGAGCCAUUGUGUCCCUACUUGUGAGGACCUAUGGCUUAAGUGGUGCAUACAUGUUGUGGUCGGGAGUUGUGUUCCAUUUGACCGCCAUCGGAAUGCUCUUCCGACCCUCCCCAGAGGAACGGUUCCGACAGAUUGAACAUGAAAUCCGAGUGAAAAGCUCUCUGAACAGGCAAGGCAGUCAGCAGGAGCUGACCAGUGGUCACAACAGCAUGAUGAGCGGCCUGAACAGCUUGUUUGGCAGUGUCAACCACAGCAUGAUGAGUGGGAUGGACAAGAUCAGCCAUGGGAGGCGCUCGGUGGUCUCUCGCAACACGAGCAAGCUCAGCAACGGGGAGAUCGAUAUGCCGCUGUUGAAGGCAGUGCUCCACAAGGAGAUGUCUCGGUCCAGCUACUCCGUCUCCACCAACAGGUCUCACCAUCGCUCUCACGUGACCAGCCCCACGCAGACAACUUCCACUUCCAGCAAGCAUCAGCAGCUAGCUCCUGGUACUGUUGGUCAUGGGGAGUCGAACCAGCUACUCUCUGUGAACACUGAAAUGAAUGGCACCCCUACACCGACAAGCCCGAUGAAUGCAAUCUCCAAUGGUCACCUGCACACGGCUACAUCCAUUAAUAGCUCACAUGCUUUGGGCAGCAGCAAUCACCAUCUCAGCAACAACGUCAACAGCAACGGUAGCGUUCAGCACCUGAACAACAACAUAAACAGCAACAGUAGCAGCCAGCUGCCGUUACACCACUCCAGCUCCCAGUUCUUCUCCACUAGCACCCUGACCCCAUCGGUGACCGCCUCCUCCCGCCUCCCCCCACCCUCCCCCACCAGCACCCACGGAGCCUCCACUUCAUUACUAAAUAAACCUCCACCCCAUCGCGGUCGCCUGCUCUCCGCGGGAUCCCAGUCUCAGUACACUUCCAUGAGCCAUAUCAGCCGCCGUCUUUCGCUCCGAGACCAUUCCCAUACUGGCGAGUACGACAACGAAUCACUGUCCUCCACCCUCAUCUCGCAGCUCCGCCCCCGAGAUGCUAUUGCCCCGCGAUAUGCGCUUGGCUCUCGCAGUAUAUCCACCAUGAUGGGCAGUGUGGCCAGUUUCCCCACCUCCUUGGCUAUCAUCAAGGAUGAUCUCUCGAGAUUCGAGGCUUACAGCUCGACUACUAGUCACAGAAGAUCUCUAACAGGUUUUGCAAUACAAGUCCUGGAUUCACUGCGGUUGCUACGCAACAGGCCUUUUCUUAUAUUCCUGUUGUCAAACUUCAUGUGGGCAUUUGGUGAAUCUCCUAUUAUGAUUUAUCUCCCAUCAUAUGCCGUGAGCAAGGGCACAGACAAAAUGCAAGCGUCUUUCCUUUACACCUCCAUGGGAAUUGGAUCUAUGAUAGGUCGACUUCUCUCUGGUCUGGUAGCCGGUGAUAAAGAUGUUGGGCCUGUUUUACUUUUCACAGGUAGCUUAGGCGUGGCCGGUAUGUUUGUGGCCCUCAGUCCAGCAAUCACCUCCACCAUGAUGGAGCAGGUGGUGGUCUCCUGUCUGCUGGGCCUCUACACCGGGGCCCUGGUGCCUCUCACCUCCCUCAUCACUAUUGACCUGCUGGGCAUCGGGGAGCUGGGGAUUGGUUUCGGCUUCCUGCUCAUGUCCCAGGGCCUUGGCUAUCUGAUUGGGCCCCCCUUGGCUGGCAUGAUUGUCAAGGAACUUGGCUUUGCAAGAUCUUUCCUAUUUGCUGGUUUCCUCUUGAUGGGGGCCAGUCUAUUUUCCAUGAUCAUGGCCCUGUUUCUUGGUAAGCAAGAGGAUGAACUGGACGAUGAUGAUCACUCACUCGAUGACUUGGAGCGGGCCCUACAGAGAAUCUCAGACAGUGAAAGUGACAAUUCCGAUGAAGAAAAUGAUGACAAAGGCGGUUGUGGUGAGGAACGAGACGAUCUCGGGAAAGGCAGUGCCAGUAACAUUAGCAGGCUGGAAGGAAGCACCCAUGGUGUUGCGGAUUUCAUCGUGUCUCAUUCUGAAGGAGGAGGUGCUGAGAAAGAAGAGGAGCCUGUGCCAGUUGAGGAAGAGAGACUGGAGCCUAUCAUGGAAGUAGGAUAAAAGUCAACUACAGAAUGUACAGCCACUGAUUGGUGCAUAUUUGAUAGAGAUAGCUGACAUACAUAUUGAACAGCCAGUCCAAAACCAUGUUGAGCAAAUUCAAGACAAGAUGUGCUUGGAUACUGAGCUAGUCUAUUUACAACAAAAUCUGCUUUCUUUUGAUUGUCACAAAUAUUGGAGUUUGGCCUAAUCAAAAAGUAGUUGGUCCAAGCAAUAUGUUACUAUUGUUUGUGGAUCAUUCUCACAUUUGGGCUUUCCCCGUUCCAUUCAGUGUCAGUGACAUCUGUGGUGUAAUGAUUAGGCUCUUUGCUAUUUGCACGCUAAAAAAUCGCAAGUUUGCUUCUCGUUCGGGAAAGUUAUUGAACUGGGUGUUUCUGUCAGCCUCGUGGGAUGCUAUAUUCCACUUUGUGGAGAUUUGCUAUGUCUAUGACAGGGAGUUAGGAAGCAACCUACCACCUUAAUUAUCUGAUUUGUGUCUUCAGGGGAGCAGAACAUUUGAAAUCAUUCCUGUUGUGUGUGAUGUGCGUUCAAACGUCUCUCUCUCUACUAUAUGUCACCACCCUUGCUGUUGUUCCAUUUUUGUGAGAGCACCAGGUUUACUGGUUAUAGAGCUAGUCUUCUCUCAGUUGCUGGGUAGUUCAACGGCUGAGACAAUAUUCACAAUGUCUUGGGGGGGGGUUUUCAGGGAGGGUGAGAAUCAAAGAAACCGUUUUAAACAGUCAAAUUUUGUCUUCAGUGUUAUCACAUCUGUUUUCCUAGUUAUCUGAAAAGCGUGAUGUGAUAAAGAUUGUUUGUAACCUGGUUUUUAAUCCGUCAGUGUUUUGUGUUUUGAGAAUUCUUAGUUAAUAAGGUCCAAAGAAUGACAUUGUUAGCAUGCCAAUUUAGGCAAUGUGUUGAUGCAUUGUUUUUUGUUUGUUACAGCAUUUGUUAUAAAAUGCACUCUCUAUUUUUACUUUUAUUAGUUACAAUUGUUACCAAGCUUAUUUGCUUGCUGUGUAGACAUAAAGUGGUUAUUUCCACUGUUUGUUUUUAAAAAAAAUGAAACUAAGAAUAUAAUAUGCACCAGAUAUCAUGUACAAGCCGACAGAUUGUUUUAAAUCUGCCAGCUCCCUUUUUACUGACUUUCAAAUAGUCAGUGACUGCAGUUACAAAGUAAUUGUAGACCACAAACAACAGCUUUUCUGCUAUUAUUUUUAACCCUUUCAGUGCCAGUCUCCUAAAUUUUCGCAAACAAGGAAGAGUCAAGCUGCAAAUGGGUGAAAUAAUAAUUUUACACCACUGUACAAAAAGGCUUGUUAAAAACAUUUAUUUCGGCAUAGAACUGUUUCCUAUUUGGAAAUGUAAUUGAAAAUUAUCUAUUAUCCAAACAUUGUUAAAUGAAACCCAACUUGAUUUUUUGAUGAUUGUCUAAGUUGGCACUGAACCCCUAAUUUGACAAUUAUCAAAAACAGGACUGAAAGGGUUAAAUUUCCAAAAUAGAAGUCUUAUUUCUGACUAAAUAUUCAAAA
Molecule: unclassified non-coding RNA, 5504 nt
Filed under: Aplysia californica (California sea hare)
Lineage: Eukaryota; Metazoa; Mollusca; Gastropoda; Aplysiida; Aplysiidae
Description: uncharacterized LOC101851621, transcript variant X5
Source: RNAcentral